GGUCAGGCGAGCAUAUGGUCAGUGAAGGGCGCGCGGACGCCAUCACUGUAGGCGUCCAUGGGGUAAUCUCCAUCCAUGUCCAUGUGCAUGUCAAUGGGGUCCAGGGGGAUGUCACCCGAGUACAUGGGGCGGUAGCCGGGGUCCACCUCGUCCGAGUAGGGCUCAUUGAUGGGGAUCAUGCUCUGAGCCGCCUCCCAUGCUGCGGGGUCGUGCUUGAAGAGCGAGUUGGUGAGCUCCACGGACACACGCUUCCUGUAGUCGGGGUUCUUGUCCUCGGAGAUGCGGAAGAGCACGGCAGCUGCAUAGGUGGCUGUUCCCUCAUUCCUGGAGUGCAGCAGCUCCAUGAGUGGAGCCGAGGCCCCUUCGGCAUCAAUGGCAUCGGCAGCCUCCUUGUCCUGGGCCAGCUCGCACAGCACGCCGGCCGCCACGCGCUGGAUGUUCUCCACAGGUGAGUAGAGGAGCUGCACGAAGAGGGGAAUGGUGUUGAGCCGGAAGAUCUCCAUGCGGUUCAUGAGGUCCCGGGCCAGGAUGUGCAGCGCUCCCGUGCAGCCCUCCACGAUCUCCUCCAUCUUGACGCCAUCCGUGUAGGGCUGCUGUGUGCCGGCUGCCACGUGACGCUGCGCAUCCUGGUGAGCCUUCACCAGCAGCUGCACCAGGCGUGGGAUGACGGCCGCCUCCUGCAGCGGGCCAUGGUUGGCCGGGCACAGGGCCAGGUUGCGGAUCAGCCCAAUGGUGGCCUUGACCAGCGGCCACUGGUUGGGCUGGUUGAGCAGCUUGACGAUGGCGGGGAUGCCGUAGUUGAGCCGCACGGAGUUCUGUGCCAUCUCUGCCUCGGGGUGCCGGCUGGUGAGGUGCCGCAGCGCGCACACGGCCGGCUCGGUGAUGUCCUCCUUGUCGCCCGCCCGCAGGAUGGUGUGGAUCAGCGCCUCCACCCCGUUUGACUGUGUCACCAGGGUCUUGUUCUUGCUGUUGUUGCAGGUCAGGUUGGAGAGUGUGCCGGUGGCGCAGGUCAGCACAUUGACGUCGUCAGAGCUCAGCUGGUUCACCAGGAUCUUGAGGACUCCAUCCAGGCCCUCCUGCUUGGUGGCCACGUCAGAGAGGUUUCGCAGGGUCCAGAGACAGUUCUGCACCAGCCGGGGGCUGGAGCUGGUCAGGUGCUUGCCCAGAGCCUGCAUGCCACCGGCCUCGACGAUGGCAGGUUUGUUGCUGGGGCACACUGACAGCACCUUGAGCACCCGGCUGGUGGUCCACAGCAGCUUCUCAUAGUUGUAGCUGCGCAUGAUCUGCACCAGGGCUUGGGGGCCUCCGUUGGCCAAAAUAAUCAGCUUGCUCUCCUGGUUCCCGUAGGCGAGCAGCUGCAGGCAGUCGGUGGUGAUGGCCAGGAACUUGGGGUUGUUCUUGUUCAGCAGCGGCACCAUCUUCUGCAGCCCGUCAGCCAGGCGCACGGCCAUCUUGGCACCCUCCUGGUAGAGCAGCAGGUUGUGCAGCGUGGUGAUGGCAUAGAAGAGGACUGACUCGACUGGUGAGCUGAGCAUCCUGACGAGGGCUGGGAUGCCACCAGACUUGAAGAUGGAGAGCAGUCCCUCGCGGUGGUGGGAGAGGUUGUGCAGGAUGCUGGUGGUGCAGCGUGCCGUGUCCAGGUCGCUGGUGCUCUGCAUGGUGCGCACCACAGCCGCCACAAUCUGCGAUGACUGCAUCAGGGCACGGCGGGACGCUUCCUUCUUGGAGAGCUGGUUCACAAUCAUGGCUGCUUUGCUGACAACCACUGGGUCCUCGUCGUUGAGCAGCUUGGUGAGCUCUGGGAUGGCGCGGGUGGCCAGCUCGGCAUCAUCCUGGUAGUUGAUCAGGUGCACAAUGGCCGACUUCAGCAUCUGCGAGGGCUCCGCCAGGCGCUGCACGUUGGUCUGCUGCCCUUCCACCUGCGUGGUGAUGAGCAGCGAGCGGUCCUCCACCGUCUCGGGGUACAUGGCAGCACGGACACGCUGAGCCCGGGUCAUGGCCAGCUGAGCCUCCAUGUCGGCUUGUGCUUGGCUCUGGCCCUGGCCCCCACCCUGGCAGUAGCUGGUGGUGGUGGUCUUCUUGAUGGUGUACUGCUUCCCGUACACCUCGUCGUCAUCCCCCAUGCACUUGCUGCUGACGGAGGGCACCUGGGUGUUGACGCCCGAGUGGAUGCCCGAGUCGUAGGUGUAGGUCUGCUGCCACUCCGUCACCUUGAUGGGCUGCUCCAUCAUGUUCAUCACCUCCAUGGCUGCACUCGCACCGCUCCCCGCGCGGGCAC
Molecule: long non-coding RNA, 2278 nt
Filed under: Gallus gallus (chicken)
Lineage: Eukaryota; Metazoa; Chordata; Aves; Galliformes; Phasianidae
Source: RNAcentral